This 841-nucleotide ribosomal RNA is filed under the name Sporothrix epigloea. Its description in RNAcentral is "LSU rRNA". It matches the Rfam family "Eukaryotic large subunit ribosomal RNA", at positions 73 to 945 of the family's 3401-position model. Lineage: Eukaryota; Fungi; Ascomycota; Sordariomycetes; Ophiostomatales; Ophiostomataceae. The record is from RNAcentral.
AUUGCCCCCAGUAACGGCGAGUGAAGCGGCAACAGCUCAAAUUUGAAAUCUGGCCCCCGGCCCGAGUUGUAAUUUGGAGAGGAUGCUUCUGGUGCGGCGCCGUCCGAGUUCCUUGGAACAGGACGCCGUAGAGGGUGAGAGCCCCGUACGGACGGACGCCUAACCGAUACGAAGCUCCUUCGACGAGUCGAGUAGUUUGGGAAUGCUGCUCAAAAUGGGAGGUAAAUUUCUUCUAAAGCUAAAUACCGGCCAGAGACCGAUAGCGCACAAGUAGAGUGAUCGAAAGAUGAAAAGCACUUUGAAAAGAGGGUUAAACAGUACGUGAAAUUGUUGAAAGGGAAGCGCCUGUGACCAGACUUGUGCCCUGCUGACCACCCGGCGUUUUCGCCGGUGCACUCGGCAGGAUACAGGCCAGCAUCGGUUUUUCCAGGGGGACAAAGGUCGCGGGAACGUAGCUCUUUCGGGAGUGUUAUAGCCCGUGGCGGCAUGCCCCUGGGGGGACCGAGGACCGCGCUUCGGCAAGGAUGCUGGCGUAAUGGUCACCAGCGACCCGUCUUGAAACACGGACCAAGGAGUCAAGCAUUGGGGCGAGUGUAUGGGUGCCAAACCCGCACGCGAAAUGAAAGUAAACGCAGGUGAGAGCUUCGGCGCAUCAUCGACCGAUCCUGAUGUUUUCGGAUGGAUUUGAGUAAGAGCCUUACCGCUUGGACCCGAAAGAUGGUGAACUAUGCCUGAAUAGGGUGAAGCCAGAGGAAACUCUGGUGGAGGCUCGCAGCGGUUUCUGACGUGCAAAUCGAUCGUCAAAUUUGGGCAUGGGGGCGAAAGACUAAUCGAACCAUCU